GACAGAGGGUGCAAACGUUGUUCGGAAUUACUGGGCGUAAAGAGCGCGCAGGCGGUCGUUCAAGUCGAGUGUGAAAGCCCCCGGCUCAACUGGGGAGGGUCAUUCGAUACUGAUCGACUCGAAGGCAGGAGAGGGAAGUGGAAUUCCCGGUGUAGUGGUGAAAUGCGUAGAUAUCGGGAGGAACACCAGUGGCGAAGGCGACUUCCUGGCCUGUUCUUGACGCUGAGGCGCGAAAGCUAGGGGAGCAAACGGG
This 253-nucleotide ribosomal RNA is filed under the name uncultured bacterium. Its description in RNAcentral is "partial 16S ribosomal RNA". It matches the Rfam family "Bacterial small subunit ribosomal RNA", at positions 524 to 776 of the family's 1533-position model. The record is from RNAcentral.